This 583-nucleotide long non-coding RNA is filed under the name Bos grunniens (domestic yak). RNAcentral's name for it is "lncRNA (ENSBGRG00000020888.1)". The record is from RNAcentral. Lineage: Eukaryota; Metazoa; Chordata; Mammalia; Artiodactyla; Bovidae.
CUGGGUGGAAAGAGAGGCAGCGGCUGAGGCAGGGAGAGGCCAAGAGUGCGCGCUGGCUCCAAGGGCCAGGACACCUUGGCGGCUGCCAGGUAGGUCACUGCGCUGGUUGGGGCGCUGAGCACGGGACCGGCCGGCUUCAGCCACGUCCAGGCCCCGGCUGGCCACCAGGUGAGCGCUCCCGAGCGCUCCCAACGCGUCGCGGGCGGCCGUGCGUCCACCAGGCCAAGUACAGGUCAUGGAGCGGCGCCCGGGGGGCGGCACGGACCCUAGGGGAAGCAAAGGAGGUGGUAAACAAAGCAGCCCUGGCGCCCGAGUGGCGGCGGCGGCGGCGAGCGGCGGGGGCGGCGGCGGGGGAGGGCAGCGGCCCAGCGACCCCAGCUGGGCUCGAGGAGCCGCACCCACACCCACACCCACACCUGUGCUGCGGGGCAGGACAACCCCGGGACUCUGUCUGGGAGGUGUGCUGAGGGGUCUGCCCAGGUCAGACACCUGGGCACUGGGCGGGGGAGGCGGGGUCUGGUGGAUUGUGGGAGGUUAGGCUGGAGCCUCUGGGGAUAGGUGGAGGGGCCAUCCGGGGCUACAU